AGACAAAAUUGACUUUUGUGAGACAAUAUUCAAUUUUGUCAAUUUUGUCACACAAAAGUCAAUUUUGUCUCACAAAAGUCAAUUUUGUCUCACACAAUU
RNAcentral lists this small RNA (99 nucleotides) under Mytilus galloprovincialis (Mediterranean mussel). The record is from RNAcentral. Lineage: Eukaryota; Metazoa; Mollusca; Bivalvia; Mytilida; Mytilidae.